CACGUGAGCUUCUUUCGCCAGACGAGAAUUUAAGAGGACAACAUAACUGCUACGUGAACCACGCUUUUGGAGACUCAGCACUCAUCGUCGAUUUUGAACUUAGUGCCGACAGAAGGAUUGUUGCAGACAGUACCUCAAAUAAAAUGGAGGAGAAUUUUGACGGUCCACGACUAUCAACAGGAAGGCCUAAGGACUUUAGAUUUAGCUCCUUCGAUAAAGAGGAAACAACUGAAUCGUCUACAACGACAACUAGAGAAUGCUUUGUAUCUAGCGAGUUCAUUCGGGAAUCGGAAGAUAGUGGUUUAACGGAAGAUAGUGGUUUAACGAAUGAGUCACACGAGGAUCAAAGCACGUGAUGGUAAACUACAUUGUAUGGAACCAGUAACAGUUGGCGUUAGUUUUCACAUGACCAUAGAUGAAACCAGUGCAGCAGCCGCAGUUUGGUAAAUGCCAAGAUAUGAUGAAAGAAUGCCGCACAUAGCAGUGAUUGAUGUCGGAAUCUUUCCAGACCAGAGGAAUCCGGGUGGUAACCAGUUGACUGCAUUGCAGAGGUCUGCGAUGUUCU
Long non-coding RNA from Anneissia japonica, 565 nucleotides. RefSeq lists it as uncharacterized. The record is from RefSeq and is a predicted model, not a curated record. The transcript has 4 exons. NCBI's taxonomy places the organism in Eukaryota, Metazoa, Echinodermata, Crinoidea, Comatulida, Comatulidae.